Molecule: long non-coding RNA, 201 nt
Filed under: Homo sapiens (human)
Lineage: Eukaryota; Metazoa; Chordata; Mammalia; Primates; Hominidae
Description: LHRI_LNC1450.1
Source: RNAcentral
AAAAAUAUUGGCCGGGCGCGGUGGCUCACGCCUGUAAUCCCAGCACUUUGGGAGGCCGAGGCGGGCGGAUCACGAGGUCAGGAGAUCGAGACCAUCCCGGCUAACACGGUGAAACCCCGUCUCUACUAAAAAUACAAAAAAUUAGCCGGGCGUGGUGGCGGGCACCUGUAGUCCCAGCUACUCGGGAGGCUGAGGCAGGAG